AGGGAAUUUUGCGCAAUGGACGGAAGUCUGACGCAGCAACGCCGCGUGAAGGAUGAAGGCCUUCGGGUUGUAAACUUCUGUUGGAUGGGAAAAAAAGCCUUUUAAGAGGAAUUGAUGGUACCAUUCGAGUAAGCACCGGCUAACUACGUGCCAGCAGCCGCGGUAAUACGUAGGGUGCGAGCGUUGUUCGGAAUCACUGGGCGUAAAGGGAGCGUAGGCGGAACUGUAAGUUAGAAGUUUAAUACAUGGGCUCAACCCGUGGUCUGCUUUUAAUACUGCGGUUCUUGAGUAUGGGAGAGGGCGAUGGAAUUCCAGGUGUAGCGGUGGAAUGCGUAGAUAUCUGGAAGAACACCAGUAGCGAAGGCGGUCGCCUGGCCCAAUACUGACGCUGAGGCUCGAAAGCUGGGGGAGCAAAC
Molecule: ribosomal RNA, 416 nt
Filed under: uncultured bacterium
Lineage: Bacteria
Description: bacterial SSU rRNA
Rfam family: Bacterial small subunit ribosomal RNA
Source: RNAcentral